GACGAACGCUGGCGGCGUGCUUAACACAUGCAAGUCGAACGGAAAGGCCCUGCUUGCAGGGUACUCGAGUGGCGAACGGGUGAGUAACACGUGGGUGAUCUGCCCUGCACUUCGGGAUAAGCUUGGGAAACUGGGUCUAAUACCGGAUAGGAGCCAUCUUUAGUGUGGUGGUUGGAAAGUUUUUUCGGUGUAGGAUGAGCUCGCGGCCUAUCAGCUUGUUGGUGGGGUAAUGGCCUACCAAGGCGGCGACGGGUAGCCGGCCUGAGAGGGUGUACGGCCACAUUGGGACUGAGAUACGGCCCAGACUCCUACGGGAGGCAGCGGUGGGGAAUAUUGCACAAUGGGCGCAAGCCUGAUGCAGCGACGCCGCGUGGGGGAUGAAGGCCUUCGGGUUGUAAACUCCUUUCGCUAGGGACGAAGCUUUUUGUGACGGUACCUAGAUAAGAAGCACCGGCUAACUACGUG
RNAcentral lists this ribosomal RNA (465 nucleotides) under uncultured bacterium. RNAcentral's name for it is "partial 16S ribosomal RNA". It matches the Rfam family "Bacterial small subunit ribosomal RNA", at positions 28 to 507 of the family's 1533-position model. The record is from RNAcentral.